UACAGAGGGGGCAAGCGUUGUUCGGAAUUACUGGGCGUAAAGGGCGCGUAGGCGGCCCUCUAAGUCGAACGUGAAAUCCCUGGGCUCAACCCAGGAACUGCGUCCGAUACUGGAAGGCUUGAAUCCGGGAGAGGGAUGCGGAAUUCCAGGUGUAGCGGUGAAAUGCGUAGAUAUCUGGAGGAACACCGGUGGCGAAGGCGGCAUCCUGGACCGGUAUUGACGCUGAGGCGCGAAAGCCAGGGGAGCAAACGGG
This 253-nucleotide ribosomal RNA is filed under the name uncultured bacterium. RNAcentral describes it as "partial 16S ribosomal RNA". It matches the Rfam family "Bacterial small subunit ribosomal RNA", at positions 524 to 776 of the family's 1533-position model. The record is from RNAcentral.